Elaeis guineensis (African oil palm) is the source of this 110-nucleotide small nucleolar RNA. RefSeq annotates it as small nucleolar RNA snoR100. The record is from RefSeq and is a predicted model, not a curated record. NCBI's taxonomy places the organism in Eukaryota, Viridiplantae, Streptophyta, Magnoliopsida, Arecales, Arecaceae.
GGAAGAAGGAAACAUGGUAAGGUAAAUGGAAAUGAAAGAUGGUUCCAUUGGUUUGCUCGCGCUGAUGCCCCCGGGCUUUGAUGUAGCGAGGUUGGAUGCGACCCACAUCC